AGUUGUAAUUUGCAGAGGAUGCGUUCGGCGACGCACUGACCGAGUCCCCUGGAAUGGGGCGCCAUAGAGGGUGAGAGCCCCGUAUGGUCGGCUGCUGAACCGGUGUAAUGCUCCUUCGACGAGUCGAGUAGUUUGGGAAUGCUGCUCUAAAUGGGAGGUAAAUUUCUUCUAAAGCUAAAUACCGGCCAGAGACCGAUAGCGCACAAGUAGAGUGAUCGAAAGAUGAAAAGCACUUUGAAAAGAGGGUUAAAAAGCACGUGAAAUUGUUAAAAGGGAAGCGCCUGUGACCAGACUCUGUUCUUGGGGAUCAUCCGUCCUUCUGGGCGGUGCACUCCUCUUGGAUGGGGCCAGCAUCGGUUUUCGCCGGGGGAAAAGGACUUAGGGAACGUGACUCUCCUCGGAGAGUGUUAUAGCCCUCUGUUUGAUGCCCCGGCGGGGACCGAGGACCGCGCUUCGGCAUGGAUGCUGGCGUAAUGGUCACCGGCGACCCGUC
Molecule: ribosomal RNA, 493 nt
Filed under: fungal endophyte sp. DM169
Lineage: Eukaryota; Fungi
Description: eukaryotic LSU rRNA
Rfam family: Eukaryotic large subunit ribosomal RNA
Source: RNAcentral